GGAUAAUUGUCUAUUGAAGUCCUUUUCCCAUUUGUUAACCAGAUCAUCUUGGUUUUUUUUGUUAUUGAGUGGUAAGAGUUCCUUUAUAUUCUGGAUAUUAACCCCUUAUUAGAUAUGUGGUUUGCAGAUAUGUUCUCCCUUUCUGUGUGUUGUUCCUUUUUACUCUGUCAUUUGGUUCCUGCGUUGUGCAAGCAUUUUCAAGUUUGAUGGAAUUAAUGUAUUUGUCUGAUUUUGCUUUUGUUGCCUGUGCUUUUGGUGUCAUAUCCUAGAAGUCCUUGCAAAAUCCAGUGUCGGGAAGCUUUUCCCCUAAGUUUUCUUCUAGGAGUUUUCUAGUUUCAAGCCUAUACAUUUAGGUCUUUAAUCUAAUGUUAGCUCUUUCUUAAUGGGUUCUUUGUAUUUUGGGCAGGGAAUAAGUCUUUUUUUAAUAUAACUGUGGCAGGAAUUUACUAUAUAUACCUUUUUUUCUUCUUCCUUCCUCCCCUCUUUCCCUCCCUCCUUCCCUCCCUCCUUCAUUCCCUUCUUCCCUCUCUCACGGCUUGAAGAUAAUGGAAUCACUCACUUUUUGUUCAUAAUUGGUAAGAUUUUAGUUAGUAGAAUGAUGAUUCAUUUUCAACAACACUUUGUUGUUUGUUCAUUGGUUAGCAGGAAGAAGAUGAGCCCGAAGUCCGAACGCGGCGGAAUUCAUGUGGAUGCUGUGCAAGAAAGGAUGUGGUUACUACGGCAACCCAGCCUGGCAGGGUUUCUGCUCCAAGCACUGGAGGGAAGAGUACCACAAGGCCAGGCUGUAGGAGAUGCAGGAGGACUGGGAGCUGGCAGAGCGACUCCAGCGGGAGGAAGAAGAGGCCUUUGCCAGCAGUCAGAGCAGCCAAGGGGCCCAAUCCCUCACAUUCUCCAAGUUUGAAGAAAAGAAAACCAAUGAGAAGACCCGCAAGGUUACCACAGUGAAGAAAUUCUUCAGUGCGUCUUCCAGGGUCGGAUCAAAGAAGGGCUGGAGUGCAAUGGCACGAUC
Mandrillus leucophaeus (drill) is the source of this 1009-nucleotide long non-coding RNA. RefSeq lists it as uncharacterized. The record is from RefSeq and is a predicted model, not a curated record. Lineage: Eukaryota; Metazoa; Chordata; Mammalia; Primates; Cercopithecidae. The transcript has 3 exons.